Molecule: ribosomal RNA, 253 nt
Filed under: uncultured bacterium
Lineage: Bacteria
Description: partial 16S ribosomal RNA
Rfam family: Bacterial small subunit ribosomal RNA
Source: RNAcentral
UACGAAGGGGGCCAGCGUUGCUCGGAAUCACUGGGCGUAAAGCGCACGUAGGCGGAUUGCUAAGUCAGGGGUGAAAUCCUGGAGCUCAACUCCAGAACUGCCUUUGAUACUGGCAACCUUGAGUCCGGGAGAGGUGAGUGGAACUGCGAGUGUAGAGGUGAAAUUCGUAGAUAUUCGCAAGAACACCAGUGGCGAAGGCGGCUCACUGGCCCGGUACUGACGCUGAGGUGCGAAAGCGUGGGGAGCAAACAGG